RNAcentral lists this ribosomal RNA (965 nucleotides) under Tomicus sp. n. CK-2004. Its description in RNAcentral is "eukaryotic LSU rRNA". It matches the Rfam family "Eukaryotic large subunit ribosomal RNA", at positions 81 to 787 of the family's 3401-position model. Lineage: Eukaryota; Metazoa; Arthropoda; Insecta; Coleoptera; Curculionidae. The record is from RNAcentral.
UAGUAGCUGCGAGCGAACAGGGAAGAGCCCAGCACCGAAUCCCGCGGCCGAUAUCGGGCGCCGGGAAAUGUGGUGUUCGGGAGGGUCCAUUAUCCCGAAAUUAUGCGAUGCGUCCAAGUCCUUCUUGAACGGGGCCACAGCCCAUAGAGGGUGCCAGGCCCGUAGUGACUGUUGCUGAUUGCGGGAGGAUCUCUCCUUAGAGUCGGGUUGCUUGAGAGUGCAGCCCUAAGUGGGUGGUAAACUCCAUCUAAGGCUAAAUAUGACCACGAGACCGAUAGCGAACAAGUACCGUGAGGGAAAGUUGAAAAGCACUUUGAAGAGAGAGUUCAAGAGUACGUGAAACCGUUUAGGGGUAAACCUGAAAAACCCGAAAGGUCGAAGGGAGAAAUUCAUUCGCGUUUCGACGUAGGUAUAAGACGGGGUAGAGUGACGAAAAUGUGUUCGCACAUUUUUGCGCCCCCUGUAUUAUUUAAUCGACGACGAACGCGUGCACUUUUCUCCUGGUAGGACGUCGCAAUCCGUUGGGUGUCGGUCUACGGUUCGCGGAGGAGCCCGUUCUGAUAUUUCGAUUGAUGAGCGGACCCGUGUUAUUCCUGACCGACUCGCUCGACGGUAUACAAAUGGUAUGUGGCCGCUCGCUUUGGAGCGUUCGACUCGUGGCAAGCGCGCCCGAUGCGUCGGCGGUCGGACCUAGUGCCGAUCCUGACCUCUGGUGACUGUUGGCCACGAUGUUCUCGGACAGAGCCGAUUACCGAUUUGCGACGCUAUAGCUUUGGGUACUUUCAGGACCCGUCUUGAAACACGGACCAAGGAGUCUAGCAUGUACGCAAGUCAUUGGGAAUCAUUAAACCUAAAGGCGCAAUGAAAGUAAAGGUCUUCCUUGCGAGGACCUAGGGAAGAUGUGCGGUUGACCGUUAAAAGUUGCCGUGCCGCAUUCCCGGGGCGUCUCAUUCUCAUUGCGAGAG